Molecule: ribosomal RNA, 253 nt
Filed under: uncultured bacterium
Lineage: Bacteria
Description: partial 16S ribosomal RNA
Rfam family: Bacterial small subunit ribosomal RNA
Source: RNAcentral
GACGGAGGGUGCAAACGUUGUUCGGAAUCACUGGGCGUAAAGGGCGCGUAGGCGGACCUGUAAGUCGGGAGUGAAAACUCGAGGCUCAACCUCGAGCCUGCUUCCGAAACUGCAAGUCUUGAGGACCGGAGAGGAAAGUGGAAUUCCUAGUGUAGCGGUGGAAUGCGUAGAUAUUAGGAAGAACACCAGUGGCGAAGGCGACUUUCUGGACGGUUCCUGACGCUGAGGCGCGAAAGCUAGGGGAGCAAACAGG